GGCUCAGAUUGAACGCUGGCGGCAGGCUUAACACAUGCAAGUCGAACGGUAACAGGGAAUAGCUUGCUAUUUUGCUGACGAGUGGCGGACGGGUGAGUAAUGCUUGGGAAUAUGCCAAAACGUGGGGGACAACAGUUGGAAACGACUGCUAAUACCGCAUAAUGUCUUCGGACCAAAGCAGGGGACCUUCGGGCCUUGCGCGUUUUGAUUAGCCCAAGUGGGAUUAGCUAGUUGGUAAGGUAAUGGCUUACCAAGGCGACGAUCCCUAGCUGGUCUUAGAGGAUGACCAGCCACACUGGAACUGAGACACGGUCCAGACUCCUACGGGAGGCAGCAGUGGGGAAUAUUGCACAAUGGGGGAAACCCUGAUGCAGCCAUGCCGCGUGUGUGAAGAAGGCUUUCGGGUUGUAAAGCACUUUCAGUAGGGAGGAAAGGGUGCUGGUUAAUAACCAGUAUCUGUGACGUUACCUACAGAAGAAGCACCGGCUAACUCCGUGCCAGCAGCCGCGGUAAUACGGAGGGUGCGAGCGUUAAUCGGAAUUACUGGGCGUAAAGCGCGCGUAGGUGGUUAAUUAAGUCAGAUGUGAAAGCCCAGGGCUCAACCUUGGAACUGCAUUUGAAACUGGUUAACUAGAGUUUUGUAGAGGGUGGUAGAAUUUCAGGUGUAGCGGUGAAAUGCGUAGAGAUCUGAAGGAAUACCAGUGGCGAAGGCGGCCACCUGGACAGUAACUGACACUGAGGCGCGAAGGCGUGG
This 754-nucleotide ribosomal RNA is filed under the name uncultured Psychromonas sp. RNAcentral's name for it is "bacterial SSU rRNA". It matches the Rfam family "Bacterial small subunit ribosomal RNA", at positions 21 to 764 of the family's 1533-position model. Lineage: Bacteria; Pseudomonadati; Pseudomonadota; Gammaproteobacteria; Alteromonadales; Psychromonadaceae. The record is from RNAcentral.